Zonotrichia albicollis (white-throated sparrow) is the source of this 1116-nucleotide long non-coding RNA. RefSeq lists it as uncharacterized. The record is from RefSeq and is a predicted model, not a curated record. NCBI's taxonomy places the organism in Eukaryota, Metazoa, Chordata, Aves, Passeriformes, Passerellidae.
AGUACCCUGCUGGAUAAACUGCCUGGCACACAGCUACUGGAGUCCACAACACAUUGUGGCCCUCAAGAAGCUGUGUAAUAGGACUGAAGGUAGACUGACUGACUGCAGUGUCUGCUAAAACUGUAAGGGGUGACUCAGCAAAUGCUGAAGAACGAAAUGAUUUAACCUGGAAACAAGCAGGAGAAGAAUAAACCAGUAUGUUCGCUAUUUCAUAUUGCUGGGCUUUCCACUAGGCCUUGCUUACUGUGUGUGGUGUCUCAUUCAUAAACAUUAGCAGCUCUUCAAACACAGGCAACUGAUGCCAGCCCUGCAGUGAGCACAAACAAACAGAAAAAACACACAACAGCAGCAGUGUGAAAUACAAAGUUGUGUUUCAUGUCAGGUACAAACAGGCGAUGUGUGUAGUUGUGAAUGUGAAAUGUGUGGACCCCAACAAUGGGAGAGCUGUGAAUUGUAAUAAUAACUGAAGAGAAUAAAGCAUGGAAAAAGCCUUUGAACCUAUCUGUUGUUUGCAAAUUAACCCUAGUUGAUUUAGGAGCAUUGGAAUUAAAGUGUUAAAGAAGUUGCUUUUUGCCUGCAUUUAAUCCAUAAAGAGUUCUGCAAUAAUAACCUUUUGAAGUAUAAUUUUAGAAUAUUCCUUGUGUCCUUGAAACUAUAGUUUUGGAAUAUAUAUAAAGGAAAUAUGCUUAUCUCAUGCAUUAUUGAAGCAGAGAAAAACAGCUUGAGAAAGGAAGAUGAACAUCACCUCAAGGGUUUAUGUUUUCUACCGAAGGGAAGCUGGACAUCACUGUUUAGAUUUAUAGUCUCUGCAAUUAAAAGGUGGACCCACACUUGGGGAGCUGGACCCCACCAGAUGGGAUUCGUCUUUCUUCUUUCGGAAACUGGAUCGUCACCAUCUGGGGAUACUCCUUUGAGAUAUAUCCUGAGAAACUAAGAUCACAAUAGUGUAUAGAAUCAUGAUGUAAUAAUUUGGAAUAAAAAAAAUUGCUGAUGAGUAAAAAAAUUGCAAAUAGAAACUGCUGAAAAAGCUGAUGAGUACCCCUAUAAAUACUUGUAACCCUCAAUUAUCAGUGUGCAGUUGGAGGGAAAACUUCCCCCACUGUACCCAGUGCUGUA